UGAGUAGGAUAAAUGAUCGCUGCCAUGCAAACGAAAGGGCAUGGGAGAGGAAAGUCCGGGCUUCACAGGGCAGGAUGCCAGAUAACGUCUGGUGGAGGUGACUCCCAGGAUAGUGCAACAGAGAUAUACCGCGUUAGCAAUGAGGCGGGUGACUAUGGCAAGAUGGAGCAGAUUCAUGCUUGCAUGAUAUCUGCAACAUAUUGACAUAGUUAUGCGGCGAAUGCCGCGUAACGAGGAAAGCUUGCUUUCCGAGUGACCGCCUCACACAAUUGCUGGCGUAAGGGUGGAAAGGCAGUGUAAGAGACUACCGUGCUGGUGGUAACAUCAGUAGCCAUGUAAACCCCAUCCGAAGCAAGACCGAAAAGAAAGCAAAGAGUCGGCCCGGCUCGCUUUCAGGUGGGUCGCUUGAGGCUGUCGGCGACGGCAGUCCUAGAUAGAUGAUCAUUCACGACAUAACCCGGCUUACAGUCCUACUCAUAAA
Non-coding RNA from Butyrivibrio proteoclasticus, 481 nucleotides. The record is from Rfam. NCBI's taxonomy places the organism in Bacteria, Bacillati, Bacillota, Clostridia, Lachnospirales, Lachnospiraceae.